Molecule: ribosomal RNA, 497 nt
Filed under: uncultured bacterium
Lineage: Bacteria
Description: partial 16S ribosomal RNA
Rfam family: Bacterial small subunit ribosomal RNA
Source: RNAcentral
GAUGAACGCUGGCGGCGUGCCUAAUACAUGCAAGUCGAGCGAACAGACGAGGAGCUUGCUCCUCUGACGUUAGCGGCGGACGGGUGAGUAACACGUGGAUAACCUACCUAUAAGACUGGGAUAACUUCGGGAAACCGGAGCUAAUACCGGAUAAUAUAUUGAACCGCAUGGUUCAAUAGUGAAAGACGGUUUUGCUGUCACUUAUAGAUGGAUCCGCGCCGCAUUAGCUAGUUGGUAAGGUAACGGCUUACCAAGGCAACGAUGCGUAGCCGACCUGAGAGGGUGAUCGGCCACACUGGAACUGAGACACGGUCCAGACUCCUACGGGAGGCAGCAGUAGGGAAUCUUCCGGAAUGGGCGAAAGCCUGACGGAGCAACGCCGCGUGAGUGAUGAAGGUCUUCGGAUCGUAAAACUCUGUCAUUAGGGAAGAACAAAUGUGUAAGUAACUAUGCACGUCUUGACGGUACCUAAUCAGAAAGCCACGGCUAACUACGUG